This 2906-nucleotide ribosomal RNA is filed under the name Enterobacter roggenkampii. RNAcentral's name for it is "23S ribosomal RNA". It matches the Rfam family "Bacterial large subunit ribosomal RNA". The record is from RNAcentral. Lineage: Bacteria; Pseudomonadati; Pseudomonadota; Gammaproteobacteria; Enterobacterales; Enterobacteriaceae.
GGUUAAGCGACUAAGCGUACACGGUGGAUGCCCUGGCAGUCAGAGGCGAUGAAGGACGUGCUAAUCUGCGAAAAGCGCCGGCGAGGUGAUAUGAACCUUUGACCCGGCGAUGUCCGAAUGGGGAAACCCAGUGUGAUUCGUCACACUAUCGUUAACUGAAUACAUAGGUUAACGAGGCGAACCGGGGGAACUGAAACAUCUAAGUACCCCGAGGAAAAGAAAUCAACCGAGAUUCCCCCAGUAGCGGCGAGCGAACGGGGAGCAGCCCAGAGUCUGAAUCAGCUUGUGUGUUAGUGGAAGCGUCUGGAAAGUCGCACGGUACAGGGUGACAGUCCCGUACACGAAAAUGCACAGGUUGUGAACUCGAAGAGUAGGGCGGGACACGUGGUAUCCUGUCUGAAUAUGGGGGGACCAUCCUCCAAGGCUAAAUACUCCUGACUGACCGAUAGUGAACCAGUACCGUGAGGGAAAGGCGAAAAGAACCCCGGCGAGGGGAGUGAAAAAGAACCUGAAACCGUGUACGUACAAGCAGUGGGAGCACCUUCGUGGUGUGACUGCGUACCUUUUGUAUAAUGGGUCAGCGACUUAUAUUCUGUAGCAAGGUUAACCGUAUAGGGGAGCCGAAGGGAAACCGAGUCUUAACUGGGCGUUAAGUUGCAGGGUAUAGACCCGAAACCCGGUGAUCUAGCCAUGGGCAGGUUGAAGGUUGGGUAACACUAACUGGAGGACCGAACCGACUAAUGUUGAAAAAUUAGCGGAUGACUUGUGGCUGGGGGUGAAAGGCCAAUCAAACCGGGAGAUAGCUGGUUCUCCCCGAAAGCUAUUUAGGUAGCGCCUCGUGAACUCAUCUUCGGGGGUAGAGCACUGUUUCGGCUAGGGGGCCAUCCCGGCUUACCAACCCGAUGCAAACUACGAAUACCGAAGAAUGUUAUCACGGGAGACACACGGCGGGUGCUAACGUCCGUCGUGAAGAGGGAAACAACCCAGACCGCCAGCUAAGGUCCCAAAGUCAUGGUUAAGUGGGAAACGAUGUGGGAAGGCACAGACAGCCAGGAUGUUGGCUUAGAAGCAGCCAUCAUUUAAAGAAAGCGUAAUAGCUCACUGGUCGAGUCGGCCUGCGCGGAAGAUGUAACGGGGCUAAACCAUGCACCGAAGCUGCGGCAGCGACGCUUAUGCGUUGUUGGGUAGGGGAGCGUUCUGUAAGCCGUUGAAGGUGGCCUGUGAGGGUUGCUGGAGGUAUCAGAAGUGCGAAUGCUGACAUAAGUAACGAUAAAGCGGGUGAAAAGCCCGCUCGCCGGAAGACCAAGGGUUCCUGUCCAACGUUAAUCGGGGCAGGGUGAGUCGACCCCUAAGGCGAGGCCGAAAGGCGUAGUCGAUGGGAAACAGGUUAAUAUUCCUGUACUUGGUGUUACUGCGAAGGGGGGACGGAGAAGGCUAUGUUAGCCGGGCGACGGUUGUCCCGGUUUAAGCAUGUAGGCGGAACGAUUAGGUAAAUCCGGUCGUUUUUUAACGCUGAGGUGUGAUGACGAGGCACUACGGUGCUGAAGUAACAAAUGCCCUGCUUCCAGGAAAAGCCUCUAAGCAUCAGGUAACAUCAAAUCGUACCCCAAACCGACACAGGUGGUCAGGUAGAGAAUACCAAGGCGCUUGAGAGAACUCGGGUGAAGGAACUAGGCAAAAUGGUGCCGUAACUUCGGGAGAAGGCACGCUGAUAUGUAGGUGAAGCCCCUGCGGGUGGAGCUGAAAUCAGUCGAAGAUACCAGCUGGCUGCAACUGUUUAUUAAAAACACAGCACUGUGCAAACACGAAAGUGGACGUAUACGGUGUGACGCCUGCCCGGUGCCGGAAGGUUAAUUGAUGGGGUUAGCGGCAACGCGAAGCUCUUGAUCGAAGCCCCGGUAAACGGCGGCCGUAACUAUAACGGUCCUAAGGUAGCGAAAUUCCUUGUCGGGUAAGUUCCGACCUGCACGAAUGGCGUAAUGAUGGCCAGGCUGUCUCCACCCGAGACUCAGUGAAAUUGAACUCGCUGUGAAGAUGCAGUGUACCCGCGGCAAGACGGAAAGACCCCGUGAACCUUUACUAUAGCUUGACACUGAACACUGGUCCUUGAUGUGUAGGAUAGGUGGGAGGCUUUGAAGUGUGGACGCCAGUCUGCAUGGAGCCGUCCUUGAAAUACCACCCUUUAAUGGCUGGUGUUCUAACGUAGACCCGUAAUCCGGGUUGCGGACAGUGUCUGGUGGGUAGUUUGACUGGGGCGGUCUCCUCCCAAAGAGUAACGGAGGAGCACGAAGGUUAGCUAAUCCUGGUCGGACAUCAGGAGGUUAGUGCAAUGGCAUAAGCUAGCUUGACUGCGAGAGUGACGGCUCGAGCAGGUGCGAAAGCAGGUCAUAGUGAUCCGGUGGUUCUGAAUGGAAGGGCCAUCGCUCAACGGAUAAAAGGUACUCCGGGGAUAACAGGCUGAUACCGCCCAAGAGUUCAUAUCGACGGCGGUGUUUGGCACCUCGAUGUCGGCUCAUCACAUCCUGGGGCUGAAGUAGGUCCCAAGGGUAUGGCUGUUCGCCAUUUAAAGUGGUACGCGAGCUGGGUUUAGAACGUCGUGAGACAGUUCGGUCCCUAUCUGCCGUGGGCGCUGGAGAAUUGAGGGGGGCUGCUCCUAGUACGAGAGGACCGGAGUGGACGCAUCACUGGUGUUCGGGUUGUCAUGCCAAUGGCACUGCCCGGUAGCUAAAUGCGGAAAAGAUAAGUGCUGAAAGCAUCUAAGCACGAAACUUGCCCCGAGAUGAGUUCUCCCUGAGACUUUAAGUCUCCUGAAGGAACGUUAAAGACGAUGACGUUGAUAGGUCGGGUGUGUAAGCGCAGCGAUGCGUUGAGCUAACCGAUACUAAUGAACCGUGAGGCUUAACCUU